Cyprinus carpio (common carp) is the source of this 433-nucleotide long non-coding RNA. RefSeq lists it as uncharacterized. NCBI's taxonomy places the organism in Eukaryota, Metazoa, Chordata, Actinopteri, Cypriniformes, Cyprinidae. The transcript is spliced from 3 exons. The record is from RefSeq and is a predicted model, not a curated record.
UCACAAUCAAAAAAUCGACGCGGGGUCAUGGCAUACGAAUCCAUGUUGAAAAACUACGACUCCCAUAAUGCACUUGUGACAGUAGCCGGAAGCGCUGCAUUCAGAGUCCACGCGCUGUUGUGUUUGAAAACCAUGCUCUUGGAGCAGACAGGGCUUUGCUGCUGUCAUGUACCCGACACCCCUGUACGCUCCGGCUGGCCACGGCGCUUUCACAGACGUGUAUGAACCGGCCGAAGGCUCGUUCCUGCUGAUGGGCGCUCUGGAGAAAGGCGCCGGCGGCUGAAGGGAAGCAGGCCGUCUGUGUGUCUGGAGGUGGGCAGCGGGUCUGGAGUCAUCUCGGCUUUCCCUCGGCGUCUGUGGUCGGGCCUGGAGCGCGCUUGUAUCUGUGAGUAUAGACGGAUCACGUGGGCUCCUCUCAUCUCUGUUUGCACUC